CAAGAAACGGGGAGAGAACUCUGC
Molecule: non-coding RNA, 24 nt
Filed under: Cricetulus griseus (Chinese hamster)
Lineage: Eukaryota; Metazoa; Chordata; Mammalia; Rodentia; Cricetidae
Source: RNAcentral